AACGGAAAGGCCCUGCUUGCAGGGUACUCGAGUGGCGAACGGGUGAGUAACACGUGGGUGAUCUGCCCUGCACUUCGGGAUAAGCCUGGGAAACUGGGUCUAAUACCGGAUAGGAGCCAUUUUUAGUGUGAUGGUUGGAAAGUUUUUUCGGUGUAGGAUGAGCUCGCGGCCUAUCAGCUUGUUGGUGGGGUAAUGGCCUACCAAGGCGGCGACGGGUAGCCGGCCUGAGAGGGUGGACGGCCACAUUGGGACUGAGAUACGGCCCAGACUCCUACGGGAGGCAGCAGUGGGGAAUAUUGCACAAUGGGCGCAAGCCUGAUGCAGCGACGCCGCGUGGGGGAUGACGGCCUUCGGGUUGUAAACUCCUUUCGCUAGGGACGAGGCUUUUUGUGACGGUACCUAGAUAAGAAGCACCGGCUAACUACGUGCCAGCAGCCGCGGUAAUACGUAGGGUGCGAGCGUUGUCCGGAAUUACUGGGCGUAAAGGGCUCGUAGGUGGUUUGUCGCGUCGUCUGUGAAAUUCCGGGGCUUAACUCCGGGCGUGCAGGCGAUACGGGCAUAACUUGAGUACUGUAGGGGUAACUGGAAUUCCUGGUGUAGCGGUGAAAUGCGCAGAUAUCAGGAGGAACACCGAUGGCGAAGGCAGGUUACUGGGCAGUU
Molecule: ribosomal RNA, 660 nt
Filed under: uncultured Actinomycetales bacterium
Lineage: Bacteria; Bacillati; Actinomycetota; Actinomycetes; Actinomycetales
Description: bacterial SSU rRNA
Rfam family: Bacterial small subunit ribosomal RNA
Source: RNAcentral